CAUUGCGGUCCGUGGAGAAACAUCCAGGACCACUCCUGUCCGAGGGCCG
RNAcentral lists this ribosomal RNA (49 nucleotides) under Limenitis mimica. Its description in RNAcentral is "Litinga mimica partial 5.8S ribosomal RNA". The record is from RNAcentral. Lineage: Eukaryota; Metazoa; Arthropoda; Insecta; Lepidoptera; Nymphalidae.